Molecule: ribosomal RNA, 484 nt
Filed under: uncultured bacterium
Lineage: Bacteria
Description: partial 16S ribosomal RNA
Rfam family: Bacterial small subunit ribosomal RNA
Source: RNAcentral
AUUGAACGCUGGCGGCAGGCCUAACACAUGCAAGUCGAGCGGAUGAAGGGUGCUUGCUCCUGGAUUCAGCUGCGGACGGGUGAGUAAUGCCUAGGAAUCUGCCUGGUAGUGGGGGAUAACGUCCGGAAACGGGCGCUAAUACCGCAUACGUCCUGAGGGAGAAAGUGGGGGAUCUUCGUACCUCACGCUAUCAGAUGAGCCUAGGUCGGAUUAGCUAGUUGGUGGGGUAAAGGCCUACCAAGGCGACGAUCCGUAACUGGUCUGAGAGGAUGAUCAGUCACACUGGAACUGAGACACGGUCAAGACUCCUACGGGAGGCAGCAGUGGGGAAUAUUGGACAAUGGGCGAAAGCCUGAUCCAGCCAUGCCGCGUGUGUGAAGAAGGUCUUCGGAUUGUAAAGCACUUUAAGUUGGGAGGAAGGGCAGUAAGUUAAUACCUUGCUGUUUUGACGUUACCAACAGAAUAAGCACCGGCUAACUACGUG